UAUUAGAAAGAAUACCAAUUGCGAAGGCAGCUUUCUGGAUCAUUACUGACACUGAGGAACGAAAGCAUGGGUAGCGAAGAGGAUUAGAUACCCUCGUAGUCCAUGCCGUAAACGAUGUGUGUUAGACGUUGGAAAUUUAUUUUCAGUGUCGCAGCGAAAGCGAUAAACACACCGCCUGGGGAGUACGACCGCAAGGUUAAAACUCAAAUGAAUUGACGGGGACCCGCACAAGUAGUGGAGCAUGUGGUUUAAUUCGAAGAUACGCGCAGAACCUUACCAACACUUGACAUGUUCGUCGCGACUUUAAGAGAUUAAAGUUUUCGGUUCGGCCGGACGAAACACAGGUGCUGCAUGGCUGUCGUCAGCUCGUGUCGUGAGAUGUUGGGUUAAGUCCCGCAACGAGCGCAACCCUCACUUUUAGUUGCCAUCAUUUAGUUGGGCACUCUGAAAGAACUGCCAGUGAUAAGCUGGAGGAAGGUGGGGAUGACGUCAAGUCCUCAUGGCCCUUACGUGUUGGGCUACACACGUGCUACAAUGGUAUCUACAACAGGAAGCAAAACUGCGAAGUUAAGCAAAUCCUUAAAAGAUACCUCAGUUCGGAUUGCACUCUGCAACUCGAGUGCAUGAAGCUGGAAUUACUAGUAAUCGCGGAUCAGCGUGCCACGGUGAAUGCGUUCCCGGGCCUUGUACACACCGCCCA
This 700-nucleotide ribosomal RNA is filed under the name uncultured bacterium. RNAcentral describes it as "bacterial SSU rRNA". It matches the Rfam family "Bacterial small subunit ribosomal RNA", at positions 695 to 1396 of the family's 1533-position model. The record is from RNAcentral.